UGCAGUUUCAUUUGUUAGUAGGAGCGCAAUAUAUUGAUUUUGUUUUAUCCCAUGUUACUAGUGCACGUUAGUAAUGGCGGCUAGUAUGAGAGUGCCGAAUGUUUGAUGAAAGAAUUUCUGUGAAGCGACAAAAAGAACAAUGGACCUGACCUGCCCGGUUAGAGCGCCCUACAUCGAGAACGCAGCUUACGAUUGACGAAUUGCCGUAAAUCAAAGCGCGACUUCGCAUAUCGCCGCCAUCUAUUGGAAAGAAAAAUAUUUAUUUCUCUUUGUUGAUUUUUUUCCUUUAUUAGGAGUUUUCUCACUUCUAUCCUUUACCCUACGGCGCUUUUUGUCUUCGGAUAACUCUGUCUUCACGUGACUCGAUGCCGGGUCCUUUCAUUGCGUAGGCCACUUCUAUACAGACUAUGCCAUGCGUUCUUUUUAGCGAUUACUGUUCGGAAGUCGUAUUUGGUUUGUUUGCGCGCCUGAUCCACGGUGCAUAUACGCAUUUCUUGGCUAUGUCGGCGAAUACUUAUUGCGCAUGCCGAGCGACUUUGCAUCUCAUUUCAUAGUGACGCCAGUCGCGUUUUUAUCUACCGCGUUCGCCAAAUCUCGAGCAAUUUAUUUAACCGAACAUAUACGUUUAGCACAAAGCAUGGCAUUAUGCGAAUUAUUGCAUAGGUGUUUUUAUUCUGUGCCUCAGGGAUACUCGAAAUGCCAUCAAAUCCAUCGAAAGAGUCAGAGGACGAUAAAUGACCGCG
Molecule: long non-coding RNA, 743 nt
Filed under: Androctonus crassicauda
Lineage: Eukaryota; Metazoa; Arthropoda; Arachnida; Scorpiones; Buthidae
Source: RNAcentral